GAUCCGGCUCAGGACGAACGCUGGCGGCGUGCCUAAUACAUGCAAGUAGAACGCUGAAGGAGGAGCUUGCUUCUCUGGAUGAGUUGCGAACGGGUGAGUAACGCGUAGGUAACCUGCCUGGUAGCGGGGGAUAACUAUUGGAAACGAUAGCUAAUACCGCAUAACAGUAGAUGUUGCAUGACAUUUGCUUAAAAGGUGCAAUUGCAUCACUACCAGAUGGACCUGCGUUG
This 230-nucleotide ribosomal RNA is filed under the name uncultured bacterium. Its description in RNAcentral is "partial 16S ribosomal RNA". It matches the Rfam family "Bacterial small subunit ribosomal RNA", at positions 15 to 238 of the family's 1533-position model. The record is from RNAcentral.